AACGAGUUACGGUAGUGGGUUAUCAGAACUUAUUAACAUUAGUGUCACUGAAGUUGGUUUGCAACCCCCCACUGCUAAAUUUGACUGGCUUAAA
Molecule: non-coding RNA, 94 nt
Filed under: Propithecus coquereli (Coquerel's sifaka)
Lineage: Eukaryota; Metazoa; Chordata; Mammalia; Primates; Indriidae
Source: RNAcentral